GACGAACGCUGGCGGCGUGCCUAAUACAUGCAAGUCGAACGCAGUGGGGACGGGUGAGUAACACGUGGGUAACCUCCCAUCAGAGGGGAUAACACUUGGAAACAGGUGCUAAACCGAUACUGAUGGAUGGACCCGCGGUGCAUUAGCUAGUUGGUGAGGUAACGGCUCACCAAGGCCACGAUGCAUAGCGGACCUGGGGGGGUGACCGCCCACACGGGGACUGAGACACGGCCCAGACCCCUACGGGGGGCAGCAGUAGGGAUUCUGCGGCAAUGGACGAAAGUCUAACCGAGCAACGCGGGGUGAGUGAAGAGGGUUUUCGGAUCGUAAAUCUUGGUUGUUAGGGAAGCGGUAUCUAACCAGAAAGCCACGGCUACCUACUUGCCAGCAGCCGGGGUAAUA
This 402-nucleotide ribosomal RNA is filed under the name uncultured bacterium. RNAcentral's name for it is "partial 16S ribosomal RNA". It matches the Rfam family "Bacterial small subunit ribosomal RNA", at positions 28 to 525 of the family's 1533-position model. The record is from RNAcentral.